AAAAUAAAAGAAAUAUUUUAAAAAUCCUCUCUUGCAACCCAGAACUCAUUAUCCAGCAUGAGUUUUUGAUACAUAAGAAAGAAUAUG
This 87-nucleotide small nucleolar RNA is filed under the name Neotoma lepida (desert woodrat). RNAcentral's name for it is "Small nucleolar RNA SNORA40". It matches the Rfam family "Small nucleolar RNA SNORA40". Rfam says of the family: The snoRNA ACA 40 belongs to the H/ACA family of snoRNAs and guides the pseudouridylation of 28S rRNA subunit at position U4565. NB This family has a high threshold value to exclude a large number of closely related sequences that do not appear to have conserved H and ACA boxes, and may be pseudogenes. The record is from Rfam by way of RNAcentral. Lineage: Eukaryota; Metazoa; Chordata; Mammalia; Rodentia; Cricetidae.